Molecule: ribosomal RNA, 465 nt
Filed under: uncultured bacterium
Lineage: Bacteria
Description: bacterial SSU rRNA
Rfam family: Bacterial small subunit ribosomal RNA
Source: RNAcentral
UGCCAGACUCCUACGGGAGGCAGCAGUGAGGAAUAUUGGUCAAUGGACGAGAGUCUGAACCAGCCAAGUAGCGUGAAGGAUGACUGCCCUAUGGGUUGUAAACUUCUUUUAUAUGGGAAUAAAACGUUCCACGUGUGGGAUUUUGUAUGUACCAUAUGAAUAAGGAUCGGCUAACUCCGUGCCAGCAGCCGCGGUAAUACGGAGGAUGCGAGCGUUAUCCGGAUUUAUUGGGUUUAAAGGGUGCGCAGGCGGAUUUUUAAGUCAGCGGUCAAAUCGUGGGGCUCAACCCCAUCCAGCCGUUGAAACUGGGGAUCUAGAGUGUGCGAGAGGUAUGCGGAAUGCGUGGUGUAGCGGUGAAAUGCAUAGAUAUCACGCAGAACCCCGAUUGCGAAGGCAGCAUACCGGUGCACAACUGACGCUCAGGCACGAAAGCGUGGGUAUCGAACAGGAUUAGAUACCCGAGUA